AGAGUUUGAUCAUGGCUCAGGAUGAACGCUGGCGGUCUGCUUAACACAUGCAAGUCGAACGAAUCCUUUCGGGGAUUAGUGGCGGACGGGUGAGUAACGCGUGAGAAUCUGCCAAAAGGACUGGGACAACCACUGGAAACGGUGGCUAAUACCAGAUGUGCCGCAACGUAAAAGAGGAAACUCGCCUUUUGAGGAGCUCGCGUCUGAUUAGCUAGUUGGUAGGGUAAAAGCUUACCAAGGCAUCGACCAGUAGCUGGUCUGAGAGGAUGACCAGCCACACUGGGACUGAGACACGGCCCAGACUCCUACGGGAGGCAGCAGUGGGGAAUUUUCCGCAAUGGGCGAAAGCCUGACGGAGCAAGACCGCGUGAGGGAAGAAGGCUCUUGGGUCGUAAACCUCUUUUGUCAGGGAAGAACACAAUGACGGUACCUGAAGAAUCAGCAUCGGCUAACUCCGUGCCAGCAGCCGCGGUAAUACGGAGGAUGCAAGCGUUAUCCGGAAUUAUUGGGCGUAAAGCGUCCGUAGGUGGUUUUGCAAGUCGGCUGUCAAAGCACAGGGCUUAACCCUGUAAAGGCAGUGGAAACUACAAGACUCGAGUGCAGUAGGGGCAGAGGGAAUUCCCAGUGUAGCGGUGAAAUGCGUAGAGAUUGGGAAGAACACCCGUGGCGAAAGCGCUCUGCUGGACUGCAACUGACACUCAGGGACGAAAGCUAGGGGAGCGAAUGGGAUUAGAUACCCCAGUAGUCC
This 748-nucleotide ribosomal RNA is filed under the name uncultured cyanobacterium. Its description in RNAcentral is "bacterial SSU rRNA". It matches the Rfam family "Bacterial small subunit ribosomal RNA", at positions 8 to 796 of the family's 1533-position model. Lineage: Bacteria; Bacillati; Cyanobacteriota. The record is from RNAcentral.